This 435-nucleotide ribosomal RNA is filed under the name uncultured bacterium. RNAcentral's name for it is "partial 16S ribosomal RNA". It matches the Rfam family "Bacterial small subunit ribosomal RNA", at positions 29 to 507 of the family's 1533-position model. The record is from RNAcentral.
AGCGAACGCUGGCGGCAGGCUUAACACAUGCGAGUCGAGCGGGCACUUUCGGGUGUCAGCGGCGGACGGGUGAGUAACGCGUGGGAACGUGCCCUCUGGUUCGGAAUAACUCAGGGAAACUUGAGCUAAUACCAGAUACGCCCUUUUGGGGAAAGGCUUGCUGCCGGAGGAUCGGCCCGCGUCUGAUUAGCUAGUUGGUGAGGUAACGGCUCACCAAGGCGACGAUCAGUAGCCGGUCUGAGAGGAUGAUCAGCCACACUGGGACUGAGACACGGCCCAGACUCCUACGGGAGGCAGCAGUGGGGAAUAUUGGACAAUGGGCGCAAGCCUGAUCCAGCCAUGCCGCGUGAGUGAUGAAGGCCUUAGGGUUGUAAAGCUCUUUUAUCCGGGACGAUAAUGACGGUACCGGAGGAAUAAGCCCCGGCUAACUUCGUG